AUUGAACGCUGGCGGCAUGCCUUACACAUGCAAGUCGAACGGCAGCGCGGACUUCGGUCUGGCGGCGAGUGGCGAACGGGUGAGUAAUACAUCGGAACGUACCCUGUUGUGGGGGAGAACUAGUCGAAAGAUUAGCUAAUACCGCAUACGACCUGAGGGUGAAAGUGGGGGACCGCAAGGCCUCACGCAGCAGAAGCGGCGGACGUAUGAUUAGCUAGUUGGUGGGGUAAAGGCCCACCAAGGCGACGAUCAGUCGCUGGUAUGAGAGGACGAUCAGCCACACUGGGACUGAGACACGGCCCAGACUCCUACGGGAGGCAGCAGUGGGGAAUUUUGGACAAUGGGGGCAACCCUGAUCCAGCAAUGCCGCGUGUGUGAAGAAGGCCUUCGGGUUGUAAAGCACUUUUGUCCGGAAAGAAAUCGCGCUGGUUAAUACCUGGCGUGGAUGACGGUACCGGAAGAAUAAGCACCGGCUAACUACGUGCCAGCAGCCGCCGUAA
This 500-nucleotide ribosomal RNA is filed under the name uncultured bacterium. RNAcentral's name for it is "partial 16S ribosomal RNA". It matches the Rfam family "Bacterial small subunit ribosomal RNA", at positions 29 to 523 of the family's 1533-position model. The record is from RNAcentral.